Molecule: ribosomal RNA, 503 nt
Filed under: uncultured bacterium
Lineage: Bacteria
Description: bacterial SSU rRNA
Rfam family: Bacterial small subunit ribosomal RNA
Source: RNAcentral
UCCUACGGGAGGCAGCAGUGGGGAAUAUUGCACAAUGGGCGGAAGCCUGAUGCAGCAACGCCGCGUGCGGGAUGACGGCCUUCGGGUUGUAAACCGCUUUCGCCUGUGACGAAGCGUGAGUGACGGUAAUGGGUAAAGAAGCACCGGCCAACUACGUGCCAGCAGCCGCGGUGAUACGUAGGGUGCGAGCGUUGUCCGGAUUUAUUGGGCGUAAAAGGCUCGUAGGUGUUUGAUCGCGUCGGAAGUGUAAUCUUGGGGCUUAACCCUGAGCGUGCUUUCGAUACGGGUUGACUUGAGGAAGGUAGGGGAGAAUGGAAUUCCUGGUGGAGCGGUGGAAUGCGCAGAUAUCAGGAGGAACACCAGUNGCGAAGGCGGUUCUCUGGGCCUUUCCUGACGCUGAGGAGCGAAAGCGUGGGGAGCGAGCAGGCUUAGAUACCCUGGUAGUCCACGCUGUAAACGGUGGGUACUAGGUGUGGGGUCCAUUCCACGGGUUCCGCGCCGUA